Dioscorea cayenensis subsp. rotundata (Guinea yam) is the source of this 109-nucleotide small nucleolar RNA. The record is from RefSeq and is a predicted model, not a curated record. Lineage: Eukaryota; Viridiplantae; Streptophyta; Magnoliopsida; Dioscoreales; Dioscoreaceae.
GAACUGUGUUGCAGACACUUCAUGCCAGGAGUUCCUUGAACCUUUCCCAUGUCUCAAAUAGAGGCUCCAAUUCCAACUGCAUAAAGGAUGAGAUCUCAUUCCUAAGCUU